AACCACCAAGAAUAACUAAAAUGUAACUUUCUUCAUCACUUCAAUGGUUCUAUUUUUAUCCUUUUAGAGGUUCAAACCAUGCAUUUCUGGUAUGUAGCUAGUUGAGAAAUCUCCUGCUUGAAAAAGGAAAUGCAAGAUUCAAGCCUUUUGUGCCAAUUGAAAAUUUAAGAAGUUGAAUAUGUAUUCAAGUAAAUUAAGCAUUUUACCUACGCAUGCAUAUCUAUCCUUUCACCUCUUAUGCAGAGAGCUUUCCAGAAAGAAUCUCAAGGGAGAAAUUCCACCAGAGAUCAAUACUAUGGAUGGGUUGGUGGAAUUGUAAGUCCAACUUGCUUCAAGCAAAGCACUUCGUAACCUAUCCUCAUUGCAACUCAUUGUCAUGUCCUCCUUUUCUUCAGGUGGUUGGAUGGAAAUUCUCUUGCAGGGCCACUUCCUGACAUGAGUAAUCUAAUAAACUUGAAGAUUUUGUAAGCACUUGAGGUUAUCUACAAUUUUCCAUUCAUGAAACAAGACAUUAUGUUUCAUCGUGAUUUAGCAUUGUUAUCUUUGAACAUGCAGACAUCUUGAGAAUAACAAAUUAACAGGGACAUUGCCUUCUUACCUGUGUAGUUUGCCCAACUUGCAGGAACUGUAAGUUCAAAUCUCUAACUUUGAGCGUUGUAUGUCAAAUAGGUUGAAUAGAAAGUUAGGUUAUUGUUUCUCUCAUAACAUUUACGAAAAGCUUGCUUGUUAUAUUGACCGUGUGAAUUGUGUGUGGCAGAUAUAUCCAAAACAAUACAUUUUCUGGUGAAAUACCCUCAGAAUUAUUGGCCAAGAAACUCAUCUUUAAGUAAGUACUCCAACUGAUGCCCCACCAUAAGGCUUUAACUGCCUUUGAGAAUGUGGUUUUCUUUUUUUAGAGACAAAGCAUAAAAAAAUAAGUUACAAAUGCCUUAAGAGUCAGGACUCAUCUAGAGGGAGUCAUGGCUUUAUGGAUGACUGCGUUUUUGUUAGUAGAAAUGAAUCUGUUGGUCCCUAUUUCUUGCACGAAGUAUAUGUAGAUUGUGCACUGUAAGACCUGAUAAAACCACUCACGUGUUUGAAGUUGCUAUUUCUUAUCGAAGAGGAGCAGUCUUAAUAAGAACGACAGGGAUGGGACAUGAAGAGGGGUCCUGAUGUGUUUGUUUUACUUCUUUGUGAUCUUACCUUGCAGGUAUGAUGGUAACGUGGGGCUGCACAAAACUGAACGAUACAAGGUGCAUUCUAAGCUUAUAUUAGGAGUUUCAUUGGGGGUGCUUGUGCUUCUGGUUAUUCUACUUUUAGGAAGUUUGCUGUUACUUCGCAAGCUUCGAAGAAAAACAGCACCUUACCAGAAAAAAGGUUCCCACUCGAGAAACCUGCUUAAUAUUUCUAUUAUAGCGCUACCUUUUCUAAAUUAUGUCAUGUCUUGUGGGCUUUAGGUGGUUCUCUGAAUAUCAGCACGAAACGCUCUUCUGCAUACUCGAUCGGCAAGGGGGACGAAGGCAUGGCCUAUUAUUUAUCCCUCUCCGAGCUGGAAGAAGCGACAAAUAACUUCUCUAAGAAAAUUGGUAAAGGCAGCUUUGGGUCAGUCUUUUAUGGGAAAAUGAUUGAUGGCAAAGAAGUUGCCGUCAAGAUCAUGGCCGAGUCAUCUACACAUGGGAAUCAACAAUUUAUGACUGAGGUAGGUCGUUGGCCUAUUAUUGGAUGGAUCUCGUUGUGUUUACAUAAUUUUAUAUUGCUAAAAAUGAAUCAAACGUUUACGCAUAGAUUAGUCCAUUUAAGAUGCCUGUGGUUCUUAUGUUGCCAAGAGAGAACUAUAUACUCUUAACUCAACAACUUUAAAAAAGAAAACGAGGGAGAGUGAAUACAGUUUACAUGUAAAAUAGUACUCGAUUUUACCAAACCUGUAAAUAUCAACAGGUUGCCCUCUUAUCAAGAAUUCAUCACCGAAAUUUGGUCC
Molecule: long non-coding RNA, 1957 nt
Filed under: Cucumis sativus (cucumber)
Lineage: Eukaryota; Viridiplantae; Streptophyta; Magnoliopsida; Cucurbitales; Cucurbitaceae
Description: long non-coding RNA (CSAT_LNC002062)
Source: RNAcentral